AUGGAAGUGGUUUCUUCCAGUCACUCUUGCUUGGCAUUUCAUCAAACCCCUACCAGUGCGCGGAGGUCUCUGGGCACUGGUCUUGGUCCGCGGCAUACCAAGCUUGCUCGGCCAAGAAAAAGCUCAGUUCUCUGUGUUGGGAGAGCUUCAAAUCCUGGUGAUUCAGGAAAGCUUAAUGUCAGCCGCAGCUUCGGUGUAAGCGAUGUCGAUGCUGCCCUCCAGGGCAUCUCCAAGAAGGUAGGCCAGAUCGAGAAAGUGGCGAUUCCUGGCCUGCCAGAAGGGCCAGACAGUUCUCAAAUCAGCACUGGUUUGUGGGAGUGGAAGCCGAAGCUGACGGUAUACUACGAGAAGUCUGGCACCAAGAAUAGCAAGGCGCCAGCAGUGCUUUUUCUACCAGGUUUUGGGGUGGGCACGUUCCAUUUUGAGAAGCAAUUGAUGGAUCUUGGCCGUGAUUACAAGGUGUGGACGAUGGAUUUUCUGGGACAGGGAAUGUCAUUGCCGUGUGAAGACCCUGCUCCUAAGGCCAUGGCAGGGGAGGAGGAUGAGGAAUCAUAUUGGGGUUUUGGACAAGAUUCGCAACCAUGGGCAGAUGAAUUGGUGUACUCUGUAGACUUGUGGCGUGACCAGGUCCAGCAUUUCAUUGAAGAGGUUAUCGGUGAACCAGUUUAUAUUGUGGGAAACUCUCUUGGAGGUUUUGUUGCUCUAUAUCUUGCUGCAUCCAGUCCACACCUUGUAAAGGGGGUCACGUUGCUUAAUGCAACGCCAUUUUGGGGUUUCCUUCCUAAUCCUGCAAGAUCUCCUCGUUUGUCAAAGAUUUUUCCAUGGGCUGGGACAUUUCCUCUUCCAUCAGUUGUGAGGAAACUUACUGAAACAGUGUGGCAGAAGAUAAGCGACCCAAGAAGUAUACAGAAGAUACUCAGGCAAGUAUAUGCUGAUCACUCAACAAAUGUUGACAAGGUGUUCUCACGUAUUAUAGAGACAACAGAACACCCAGCAGCUGCUGCAUCAUUUGCCUCCAUUAUGUUUGCUCCAAUGGGCCAGAUAUCCUUUCAGGAGGCACUAUCUAGGUGCCAAAAGCAGGACAUUCCCAUUUCCCUUAUGUAUGGGAAAGAAGAUCCUUGGGUUACACCUUAUUGGGGUAUCAGAGUCAAGCAGCAGGUGCCAGAAGCACCCUAUUAUGAAAUCAGCCCUGCCGGUCACUGUCCUCACGACGAGGUUCCUGAGCGACGGCAUCCAGCCGCACCACCUAGUCAGCAACUUCCAGCGGCGCCGCCUUGCGCCGUGCCUGCGCACCUACAUCCAGCAGGUUGGCCUGGAUCAGUGGAUCCCAUGUGGUUCUUGCCGCCGUCAAAUUCAGCCGCCGUUGUGGCCCCUGCCCUGCCCAUUGGCUCACGCUACAAGGUUAUAAACUAUUUGCUCCGAGGAUGGCUUAAGAAUGUGGAGUCUGAGGGUUCAGUUGACCUCCCAUUUCUUGAAGAUUCCAGCUUUGAAGAACAUGGUGUAUCGAGGGAGCUGGAGUUUGUUAGGACAGGGUCCAAGAAAUCAGUUAGUGUGCGGCUCUUCGGUUCCCAAAUUUCCCUGUGGAACCAACUGAGCUCAUUCUUGAAGCGGCAUGCCUCCAGCAUACGGGUAGUAUCCAGAUGA
Molecule: ribosomal RNA, 1644 nt
Filed under: Triticum aestivum (bread wheat)
Lineage: Eukaryota; Viridiplantae; Streptophyta; Magnoliopsida; Poales; Poaceae
Description: partial small subunit ribosomal RNA
Source: RNAcentral